AGAAGGUCUGACCUGGACGCUGCAUAAUGACUCAGUGGUGAGAAAGACAAGGCAGAAAUGGAAUCACUUCAGAUAC
Long non-coding RNA from Etheostoma spectabile (orangethroat darter), 76 nucleotides. RefSeq lists it as uncharacterized. The transcript has 3 exons. The record is from RefSeq and is a predicted model, not a curated record. Lineage: Eukaryota; Metazoa; Chordata; Actinopteri; Perciformes; Percidae.